This 493-nucleotide ribosomal RNA is filed under the name uncultured bacterium. Its description in RNAcentral is "partial 16S ribosomal RNA". It matches the Rfam family "Bacterial small subunit ribosomal RNA", at positions 28 to 507 of the family's 1533-position model. The record is from RNAcentral.
GACGAACGCUGGCGGCGUGCUUAACACAUGCCAGUCGAACGGCGAAGCACCUUCCUUGUGGUGUGUGUGGAUGCGUGGCGCACGGGUGAGUAACACGUGAGUAACCUGCACCCUUCUUCUGGACAACCGCAUGAAAGUGCGGCUACUACGUGAUAUUCUGGGUCCGUCGCAUGUCUGGCCUGGGAAAGCUACUGGCUCGGGGGGGGGUGGGUUCGCGGUCGAUCAGUUAGUUGGUGGGGUGAUGGUCUAUCAAGGCGGUGACGGGUAGCCAGCAUGAGAAGGUGGACGGGCUCACUGGAGAGGAGACACGGCCAGGACUGAUACGGGAGGCAGCAGAGAGGAAUAUGGGACGAUGGGGGGAAGCCUGAUGCAGCGUGGGCGCGUGAGGGAUGGAGGCCUUCGGGUUGUAAACCUCAUUCGCUAGUGAAGCAGGCCUCUCUCUUUUGUGAGUAGGUUGACGGUAGCUGGUUAAGAAGCGCCGGCUAACUACGUG